This 1995-nucleotide long non-coding RNA is filed under the name Homo sapiens (human). Its description in RNAcentral is "HSALNT0172034". Lineage: Eukaryota; Metazoa; Chordata; Mammalia; Primates; Hominidae. The record is from RNAcentral.
GGUGAUAGCGGAGCGGCUGGGUAGGAAGCAAUUGUUCUCAAACUUCACUAGCCCCGUCGGCGCGGACGCUUGUCGAGAAUGCAGAUUCCUGGGUACUGCCAGAUACGGUUGGUGAUCUUGUAGGGCUGGAGUGGAAGCCAUGAAUCUGCAUUUUCAUCAUUUCUGGCCCUCUGCCCGGGCUGGGGUGAUUCACGGGGAUUCGUAGUGGCCCCAAAGGAGCACGCAGAACCUCGGCUGCUGUGCAUUUAUCACCUCUUUUGUUCCCGGAGGCCGCACCCCAGGUCCAGUUUACACAGCUGCCAACUCCUUUUCUUGGUUCCCACUGGAAUCUAGGAAGAAAACUCGCCCUUUACUUCUCCGCCCCACACCCGACGACGGAGUGUCUAGAGGUCUGGUCGGCCUUGGCUGUGCGGAGGGCUAGGCCUGACGAGCGGGCGCUGAUGCGGCGCAGACCCCGCCGGACCUCUUGGUCGGCCCGGGGUAGGCUGGGGAGCCGCGGGAACAGGACUGGAUAGGGAAAGCGGCACCGCAGCGUCCACGGGCAAGCUGAAAGUCCGCUUGAUGUCUUUGCAUCACAGUGGCGCCCUCCCCGCAGGAACGCCCGGCCGCCUGCACCGAACGUUUGCCUGCAGGGAACGGCCAACCCGCCCUGAAAUACUCUUUUUGUGGGCUGCAGCUUUCGGGAUUGAGCAUACCACAAAAAAGUUCUCAUUUUGUGUCCUCCCAUCCCAUUCUCCUCACUAACCAAAGGCUAGGAAUUAUCUGUGAAUGUAGGACCACUGGAUUUGCAGUCUUCAUCUGACACUGUGGAGAGUUUCUAGGAAUGAAACAGAUAUAUGGCCUUGGGUCCCCUUUUUUUUUCUUUUUUUUUUUUUUAAUAGAGACGAGCAUCUCACUAUGUUGCCUAGGGUAGUCUUGAACUCCUGGCCUCAAGCAAUCCCCACCCGACUCCGCCUCUCGAAGUGAUGGGAUUACAGGCAUAAACCACCACGCCUGGCCAGAAGGUGCUUUAACACCAAAUCUGAAAAUUGUUCAGAAGAGAAACAUUGAGCAUGAACACCAUCUGUGCGAGUCAUUUACUUAUUGCCCCUCACCUCUAAAUCUACCUUCUGUACUCUUCUUCCCUGUAAUGAUGGGGCUAGUUGUCCUCAAACUGUUUCUCAGACUUCUUUUUAAGCUUGCUUCCUGUUCAGUUCUGCCAAUAGGGGUCACUAGAGAGAGACUGGGAGGCAGAAGGAGAGAAUAUGCUUCCUGUUUUUUCUGUUCUUGUUAAUGUUGCUUACAGGACCAGCAAUGCUUCUUCACCUAGAGACACUUCUCCCAGCAGUGGCAGUGCCACUUCAGCUUCUUUCAGCACUACUGGAAUCAGCCUCAGUGAUUCCCCCUGUACCCGCUCAGAGAUUAUCCACAGCAGCCAGAUGGUUCUACCUUCCACAAAGAUUGUGGUUGCAAUUCUGGGCUUCUAAGUUCUGGUUACUUCAUAUUUUUCCUUUUGUUCCUCCAGCCCUAGAGGUGGUAGCUGCUUUCUGAAGUUAUUAUUUCUAGAUGACUUUUGGUUUUUCAGCCUUUGUAUUUUGCUUUUCAGCCCUCUAAUGCCUGUAUAACCAAUUUCCCUGUAAUAAAUAAAUUUCCUCCAUUGAAAUACCUUAUUACUACUGAACUAUUUCACAAACCCAUUUUGAAAGUCAAAAACCGAGCACUGAGUCUUUCUCUGUAAUCCAGCUACACCAACCCUAAUCUUCUCUGAGGUGAUGCACAGCUGUCACUGGGGAGAAAUGGAAUGCCAGGAAAUGCACAAAGGAAAAGCAUCCUGACAAAUGUUUUCAGCCUUAUGCGCCACACCACUAAAGAACAUUGCCACCUGCUGUAGGAUAUGAAGCUUCUGAAGCACAUGAGAAGUAAGAGGAAACAAUGGUCAUGCCCCCAAAGGUCUUGCUCCACAGAACUGGAGGGACACGUUCUGAAGAAUCCCAGAUUGCAUUCCAGAUGCACCCC